GUGGGGAAUUUUGGACAAUGGGCGCAAGCCUGAUCCAGCCAUUCCGCGUGCAGGAUGAAGGCCUUCGGGUUGUAAACUGCUUUUGUACGGAACGAAAAGCCUCUGGUUAAUACCCGGGGGUCAUGACGGUACCGUAAGAAUAAGCACCGGCUAACUACGUGCCAGCAGCCGCGGUAAUACGUAGGGUGCGAGCGUUAAUCGGAAUUACUGGGCGUAACGCGUGCGCAGGCGGUGAUGUAAGACAGUUGUGAAAUCCCCGGGCUCAACCUGGGAACUGCAGCUGUGAAUGCAUUGCUGGAGUGCGGCAGAGGGGGAUGGAAUUCCGCGUGUAGCAGUGAAAUGCGUAGAUAUGCGGAGGAACACCGAUGGCGAAGGCAAUCCCCUGGGCCUGCACUGACGCUCAUGCACGAAAGCGUGGGGAGCAAACAGGAUUAGAAACCCGAGUAGUCC
This 450-nucleotide ribosomal RNA is filed under the name uncultured bacterium. RNAcentral's name for it is "partial 16S ribosomal RNA". It matches the Rfam family "Bacterial small subunit ribosomal RNA", at positions 354 to 796 of the family's 1533-position model. The record is from RNAcentral.